UACGGAAGGCAGCAGUGGGGAAUAUUGCACAAUGGGCGCAAGCCUGAUGCAGCCAUGCCGCGUGUAUGAAGAAGGCCUUCGGGUUGUAAAGUACUUUCAGUCGUGAGGAAGGUGUUAAGGUUAAUAACCUUAGCAAUUGACGUUAGCGACAGAAGAAGCACCGGCUAACUCCGUGCCAGCAGCCGCGGUAAUACGGAGGGUGCGAGCGUUAAUCGGAAUUACUGGGCGUAAAGGGCACGCAGGCGGUUAAUUAAGUUGGAUGUGAAAUCCCCGGGCUUAACCUGGGAAUGGCAUUCAAGACUGGUUAGCUAGAGUCUUGUAGAGGGGGUAGAAUUCCAUGUGUAGCGGUGAAAUGCGUAGAGAUGUGGAGGAAGUACCGGUGGCGAAGGCGGCCCCGUGGACGAAAGACUGACGCUCAUGUGCGAAGCGUGGGGAGCAAACGAGGAUUAGAUACC
This 455-nucleotide ribosomal RNA is filed under the name uncultured bacterium. RNAcentral's name for it is "bacterial SSU rRNA". It matches the Rfam family "Bacterial small subunit ribosomal RNA", at positions 340 to 786 of the family's 1533-position model. The record is from RNAcentral.